GUGGGGAAUCUUGCGCAAUGGGCGAAAGCCUGACGCAGCCAUGCCGCGUGGAUGAUGAAGGUCUUAGGAUUGUAAAAUCCUUUCAGCGGGGACGAUAAUGACGGUACCCGCAGAAGAAGCCCCGGCUAACUUCGUGCCAGCAGCCGCGGUAAUACGAAGGGGGCUAGCGUUGCUCGGAUUUACUGGGCGUAAAGGGCGCGUAGGCGGACAGUUAAGUUGGGGGUGAAAGCCCGGGGCUCAACCUCGGAAUUGCCUUCAAUACUGGCUGUCUUGAGUGUGAGAGAGGUGUGUGGAACUCCGAGUGUAGAGGUGAAAUUCGUAGAUAUUCGGAAGAACACCAGUGGCGAAGGCGACACACUGGCUCACUACUGACGCUGAGGCGCGAAAGCGUGGGGAGCAAACAGGAUUAGAAACCCCUGUAGUCC
This 425-nucleotide ribosomal RNA is filed under the name uncultured bacterium. RNAcentral's name for it is "bacterial SSU rRNA". It matches the Rfam family "Bacterial small subunit ribosomal RNA", at positions 354 to 796 of the family's 1533-position model. The record is from RNAcentral.